UUAAGUGACUAAGCGUACACGGUGGAUGCCCUGGCAGUCAGAGGCGAUGAAGGACGUGCUAAUCUGCGAAAAGCGUCGGUAAGGUGAUAUGAACCGUUAUAACCGGCGAUGUCCGAAUGGGGAAACCCAGUGCAAUUCGUUGCACUAUCGUUAACUGAAUACAUAGGUUAACGAGGCGAACCGGGGGAACUGAAACAUCUAAGUACCCCGAGGAAAAGAAAUCAACCGAGAUUCCCCCAGUAGCGGCGAGCGAACGGGGAGCAGCCCAGAGUCUGAAUCAGCUUGUGUGUUAGUGGAACGGUCUGGAAAGUCCGACGGUACAGGGUGAUAGUCCCGUACACCAAAAUGCACAGGCUGUGAACUCGAAGAGUAGGGCGGGACACGUGGUAUCCUGUCUGAAUAUGGGGGGACCAUCCUCCAAGGCUAAAUACUCCUGACUGACCGAUAGUGAACCAGUACCGUGAGGGAAAGGCGAAAAGAACCCCGGCGAGGGGAGUGAAAAAGAACCUGAAACCGUGUACGUACAAGCAGUGGGAGCACCUUCGGGUGUGACUGCGUACCUUUUGUAUAAUGGGUCAGCGACUUAUAUUCUGUAGCAAGGUUAACCGUAUAGGGGAGCCGCAGGGAAACCGAGUCUUAACUGGGCGUUAAGUUGCAGGGUAUAGACCCGAAACCCGGUGAUCUAGCCAUGGGCAGGUUGAAGGUUGGGUAACACUAACUGGAGGACCGAACCGACUAAUGUUGAAAAAUUAGCGGAUGACUUGUGGCUGGGGGUGAAAGGCCAAUCAAACCGGGAGAUAGCUGGUUCUCCCCGAAAGCUAUUUAGGUAGCGCCUCGUGAACUCAUCUUCGGGGGUAGAGCACUGUUUCGGCUAGGGGGUCAUCCCGACUUACCAACCCGAUGCAAACUACGAAUACCGAAGAAUGUUAUCACGGGAGACACACGGCGGGUGCUAACGUCCGUCGUGAAGAGGGAAACAACCCAGACCGCCAGCUAAGGUCCCAAAGUCAUGGUUAAGUGGGAAACGAUGUGGGAAGGCACAGACAGCCAGGAUGUUGGCUUAGAAGCAGCCAUCAUUUAAAGAAAGCGUAAUAGCUCACUGGUCGAGUCGGCCUGCGCGGAAGAUGUAACGGGGCUAAACCAUGCACCGAAGCUGCGGCAGCGACACUAUGUGUUGUUGGGUAGGGGAGCGUUCUGUAAGCCUGCGAAGGUGACCUGUGAGGGUUGCUGGAGGUAUCAGAAGUGCGAAUGCUGACAUAAGUAACGAUAAAGCGGGUGAAAAGCCCGCUCGCCGGAAGACCAAGGGUUCCUGUCCAACGUUAAUCGGGGCAGGGUGAGUCGACCCCUAAGGCGAGGCCGAAAGGCGUAGUCGAUGGGAAACAGGUUAAUAUUCCUGUACUUGGUGUUACUGCGAAGGGGGGACGGAGAAGGCUAUGUUAGCCGGGCGACGGUUGUCCCGGUUUAAGCAUGUAGGCUGGUUGUCCAGGCAAAUCCGGAUAAUCAAGGCUGAGGUGUGAUGACGAGGCACUACGGUGCUGAAGUAACAAAUGCCCUGCUUCCAGGAAAAGCCUCUAAGCAUCAGGUAACAUCAAAUCGUACCCCAAACCGACACAGGUGGUCAGGUAGAGAAUACCAAGGCGCUUGAGAGAACUCGGGUGAAGGAACUAGGCAAAAUGGUGCCGUAACUUCGGGAGAAGGCACGCUGGUGUGUAGGUGAAGUCCCUGCGGAUGGAGCUGAGACCAGUCGAAGAUACCAGCUGGCUGCAACUGUUUAUUAAAAACACAGCACUGUGCAAACACGAAAGUGGACGUAUACGGUGUGACGCCUGCCCGGUGCCGGAAGGUUAAUUGAUGGGGUUAUCCGUAAGGAGAAGCUCUUGAUCGAAGCCCCGGUAAACGGCGGCCGUAACUAUAACGGUCCUAAGGUAGCGAAAUUCCUUGUCGGGUAAGUUCCGACCUGCACGAAUGGCGUAAUGAUGGCCAGGCUGUCUCCACCCGAGACUCAGUGAAAUUGAACUCGCUGUGAAGAUGCAGUGUACCCGCGGCAAGACGGAAAGACCCCGUGAACCUUUACUAUAGCUUGACACUGAACAUUGAGCCUUGAUGUGUAGGAUAGGUGGGAGGCUUUGAAGCGUGGACGCCAGUCUGCGUGGAGCCAACCUUGAAAUACCACCCUUUAAUGUUUGAUGUUCUAACGUUGGCCCCUGACCGGGGUUGCGGACAGUGUCUGGUGGGUAGUUUGACUGGGGCGGUCUCCUCCCAAAGCGUAACGGAGGAGCACGAAGGUUAGCUAAUCCUGGUCGGACAUCAGGAGGUUAGUGCAAUGGCAUAAGCUAGCUUGACUGCGAGCGUGACGGCGCGAGCAGGUGCGAAAGCAGGUCAUAGUGAUCCGGUGGUUCUGAAUGGAAGGGCCAUCGCUCAACGGAUAAAAGGUACUCCGGGGAUAACAGGCUGAUACCGCCCAAGAGUUCAUAUCGACGGCGGUGUUUGGCACCUCGAUGUCGGCUCAUCACAUCCUGGGGCUGAAGUAGGUCCCAAGGGUAUGGCUGUUCGCCAUUUAAAGUGGUACGCGAGCUGGGUUUAGAACGUCGUGAGACAGUUCGGUCCCUAUCUGCCGUGGGCGCUGGAGAAUUGAGGGGGGCUGCUCCUAGUACGAGAGGACCGGAGUGGACGCAUCACUGGUGUUCGGGUUGUCAUGCCAAUGGCACUGCCCGGUAGCUAAAUGCGGAAGAGAUAAGUGCUGAAAGCAUCUAAGCACGAAACUUGCCCCGAGAUGAGUUCUCCCUGAGACUUUAAGUCUCCUGAAGGAACGUUGAAGACGACGACGUUGAUAGGCCGGGUGUGUAAGCGCAGCGAUGCGUUGAGCUAACCGGUACUAAUGAACCGUGAGGCUUAACCUU
This 2900-nucleotide ribosomal RNA is filed under the name Klebsiella pneumoniae subsp. pneumoniae ATCC 43816. RNAcentral describes it as "bacterial LSU rRNA". It matches the Rfam family "Bacterial large subunit ribosomal RNA". The record is from RNAcentral. Lineage: Bacteria; Pseudomonadati; Pseudomonadota; Gammaproteobacteria; Enterobacterales; Enterobacteriaceae.